GCCGAAUCUGUGACCUACACCACAGCUCACUGCAACGCUGGAUCCUUAACCCACUAAGCAAGGCCAGGGACCAAACCUGCGUCCUCAUGGAUCCUUGUCAGAUUUGUUUCCGCUGAACCACAAUGGGAACGCCUGUCCAGCACUUCUGAUUCCCGGUCCACAGAGGUGAAGGUGAAGGGUUGGGUUUGGUCAAGACAAGGAGCCCUUCCCUUGGAGCCUUUAGACGUGAUCCCGGUGGUCAGUGUUCUCGGCCAGGGCCGUGGGAGAGAGAAGGCACGAUUCCUUCUUCAGGCCUUGAAAACCUAGUCAGAGUUGGAAUGGAGGGAAAGGCUGGCGGUCGUGUUUGUGUUUUUCCGUGUGCGAGUUUGUGACGACUGUUACAACGAUGCACCAUGGACUGGGGGCUUAAACAAAGGAGAUUUAUUUCCUCACGGCUCUGGAGGCUGCACGUCCGAGAUCACGGAGUCGUCAGGGCUGGUUCCUCUGAGGCCUCACGCCCCGGCUGUGUCUCCACGUGGCCUCCCUCUGUGCGAGUCUCUGGCUCGUUUCUUCUUCUAAGGACGCCGGUCAUGUUGGCUUAGGGCCCACUUCCGCGACCUCAGUUUAACUUACUCUUCUCUUGCCUCUCUUUCCAAAUAGGUUCUGGGGUCUUGGAGGUUAGGGCUUCCAUUUCUGCGUUGAAAGGGGACGAGCUGUCCGGAUCCGGAAGGACUCCUCGAGGGUGAGGAGGAUAAGGACGGCGUUGCAUGCAAUUCGACGCCUCCAGAGCCUAGCGUAGAACCUGGCCCCAAGUCAAUGCUCAACCCUUUUGUUGAAUAAAUGUGCUUUGAUGCCUAAGGGGAAAACAGAAAACAAAAACAAAUCUGGUGUUUGCUUCUGUGCCUGCUGUACGCAACCCCAAACUGAACUCCAGAUUACGUGUUGAAAUUGUACAUACGGGAAGAGGAGGGUCAACAGGGAAAGGAGACAGACAGGCCAGAUGGGAAAGGUAUGCCUGUGCAUAACAAUAAUAGUAAUGGCAUAUGGCUUCUUGUUGUUCUCGCUCUAAUGCUCUUAAUCUAUGGCAGUUGCAAAAUGGGAAUAUGCUCGUGGAUGUAGUAUGAGUCUUGUUUCAUAAGCAGGACCAUGAAGGGGGGAGAAAACAGAAGCAUGUUCUCCGCCUGGGGGUCACUGUGCUCAGACAGCCCCCGGUGUGCGGGGUCGCUCGGGGCUUUAGGGCACCUCUCUGGCUUUUUCUUCUCCCCGUCUGGCCGGGCCUUCCAGUGGAGCCAGCUCUACAGAGUUUCUGGGCCAACCUGUGGCUGUCCCAUUUUUGGAAGCGCAAACUGUUUACCCAUUUGAAUUAAUUUUCCCCCCAGUAGAUAAACAGUAGGUGCAUAUAUGUUUAACAUAAUUUGUGAAGAACACUGAUGCCUACAUGAAAGAAGUGAAUCUUUUAUCCAUUUGGAUUUUUUUCCUUUAUUUACUCAUGCAUACAUUCCAUUUAUCACGAGCCUGCGUGCCAAGUACAGAGUGAGGCACCCUGCACCCAGAAGAUUUUCACUCCUUGUGCCAUUGUACCUACUCUUCCUUAACUUGGUUUCUCUCUCUGCAGAAGCAGGUCCUCCUUAUCAACUCUAACCUGAUCCUUCUAGAUUUUUCUGUGAAUGAGCUACACCUGGGAGCCUAUUAAAAAUGCAGAGAUUCCGGAGAUUCAGAUCCACUAGGAAUCUGGAUUUUUUGUUUUGUUUUGUUUUACAGCUGCACCUGUAGCAUUUGGAAGUUCCCAGGCUAGGGGUAGAAUGGGAGCUGUAGCUACUGGCCUAUGCCAUGGCCACAGUAACGCAGGAUCAUUUAACCCACUGAGUGAGGCCAGGAUUGAACCCUCAUCUUCAUGGAUACUAGUUGGAUUCUUAACCUGCUGAGCCACAAGGGGAACUGCCCCGGAAUCUGGAUUAUACAGAUCUUCCAAGAGGUUCUCAUGCAGGUGGUCCACUCUUUGAGCAACCCUGCUUCGGGGUUGGAAGGGUAGGUUGAGGUGCCGUCCAGACCUCAGCUACGUUGGCACAUUGCUCUUAGCACUGAAGGGUGCAGCCUGGGGAAAGAGUGUGCUGGAUGGGACCUGCGGGCUGUGCCAGUGGCGCUGGAGUAAGUGACUAUGGGUUGGUGAGAGGAGGGGGUAGGGAGAAGCAGAGGAGCCCCCCUCAGCUGGGCGGUCCCUUCCCUGCCACUUCCUCUGGGGUGUCUCAGGUUCCAGUGGCCAGAACACACAGUCCCCUUCACUUAAUCCCACGCCCCUCACUGGGGUUCAGAAUUCAGUGGUUUUCCUGGUAAUGGAAUUUGAUUUUCAGUUUGUGAAAAUAGAACCAGGUUGCUUGGCUCUUUGACUUGGUCCUUGGAGCAGCUUCCCAUCGGCUUAUACUACCUCGUCAGUGGGAGGAUCCGAGCUGUACCUGGCAUUCCCACAGCAGGUCUUUCUUUGCUGCUCUGAGAAGCCAUCGUUUUCGCACCCGUUAUUUCCAGCUUAAUUUACAGUGUUUGUUGUGGAGGGAAAUGGCCUUUGUUUAUUGUGCUGAGAGGUCUUUUGUUGAGGCGUCUGUGUUUAUAGAGAGAAUAUUCUAGCUCAGGUGGACAGUUAUUUUUAUCCUCGUCCUAUAUUGAAAACUAAAUGGAGAAAUAAACCCAUGGUAACUAAUAGGGAGCUGCACCACCUAUGGCAACUCAUUUCAGUAUAUAAAUUUGUUUUCUUUUACCUUCGACAUAAAAAUCGUUUGUAGGUCUCCCUUGGUAGUAUCCCAGACUGCAUGUCUGAUCUUUUAUGCGCCAGUCACUCCUGAAAAUACCCCUGCAAUUUCAAUGCUAUCUGGAGCAGUUACUGUCCAUGUUCUAUAUGAAGGUAUAAUGGAGAAAAGGAAUGAAUAUUAUGGCAAUUAUUACUAUGAGCUUUUAUUUUAAGCGGCGAAGCCCAGAUAUCUAUGGAGACACAAGUAUAUGAAACUGUAUUUUUUAUAGUCACAUCUAAACUGGGCAAUGAUAGCAUAUCAAUAAACUUCAAUUACACUCAAGAAAAUACUAAAAGUGAACCUCUAGUGAUACUCAAUAAAGCCGACAGGCGCAUUAGAGUUGUAUAGAGCAGUGACAUCCAUCUGCUAUUUUUCGGUGACUUCUAGUCAAUUACUACAUUUCAUCAUAUGUAAUCCUCUUUUAUCUCCAGUUCCUGCUGGUUCAGUAAUUCUCACUCUGCUACAUCUGUGGCUUUACUGUGAAUUUUUAUCGCCUACGAGUCAGUGCGUCCCUUUCUGCCCCCAGAUGCUGUUGAACUGUAUCUGUUUAAGAUUUAAUUGCAAGGUGGUAUAAAAUAUGUAUUUAGAGACACAUAGGAAAUAUGUAAAGCGAUUGGCAAUGUAUUAAAAAAAUGGGCAUGUCUUGAAAUAUUUUUCAGGCAAAGUAUGGAUUCCAUCAGUGCAUUGGACUUGGAGUUUGCAGUGUUGUUUUUAGAGAAUGAAAUGUAAACAAACAAACAAACAAAAACCAAAAACAAGCAAAAACAACCCUGUUCAGUGGUGAUCUUCUAGAAAGGAGAUUUUGUCCACAUGUUUUAUUUAGGUGUGUGAAAUAUUGUAUAUAUGUAUUUCUCACAGUCUGGAGGCUGGAAGUCUGAGACCAGGGAGCCAGCAUGGUCAGGUUCCGGUGAGAGCACUCCUCUAGGUUUCAGACUGCUGACUUCUCUUGUAUCCUCAUGUGAUGGAGAACAGAGAAGGAAGCAAGCUUUCUUGUGACUCCCCCCACUUUUUUUUUGGCCAGCUGUAAAAGUUCCCGAGCCAGGGAUUGAACCCACGCCACAGCAGCAAUCCAAGCCUCUGCAGUGACAAGGCCAGAUCCUUAAUUUGCUGCACCGCAAGGGAGCUCCCUCUGGUGAUUCUUCUAAGGGCAAUAAUUCUCUGCAUGAGGCCUCGACCCACAUGACUUCAUCCAACCCUAACUACCUCCCCAAGCCCCUGCCUCCUGAUACUAUCACGUCAACAUAUGAAUUGUGAGGGGACACCAAAUAAACUGCCAAACCAACUUCCAAAGUGACUGUACCAUUUUGAAUUUCUACCAGGAACGAGUGACAGUUCCUAUUGCUUCACAUCUUCCUCAGCAUUUGGUGGUAUCAGGUGUUUUGGGGAAGUUAGCCAUUGUACUAGAUAUAUAAAAUAGUAUCCUCAAAGGUUCUAGUCAUUUUCAUAGCCUCAUUGGCCUCAUUCCAAUAUUGGAAUGAAUGAAUCAAUUAAAUAGAACAAGAAAAUAUGAUUUAAAAAUUUAUGUCUUGGAGGUUUCUCUGUUAUUCAAGCAGGAGUAUUUGGAACAGGAAUUGCAAUUGGAAAGGGAUUGCAAGUGCAAAUGCCUAACAAAGUGAAACAGACUAAAUGUAAGGACAAUAGGGAAUGGUGGGGACUGUGGUAGUGUGGAGCCAGCAAGAGAAUCAGUGAACCCAGUAUCACCAGAUUUUCCAAAUUUUUAGGUCACCCCAUAAAAUCGUUGGAAACCCUUUUAGUAAUCAACUAAAAAUUUAAAAAACUAGUGCUCUUAUAAGGGCACUAAUUCCCUACAUGAGGACUUUACCCACAAGACCUCAUCUAAUCCUAACUACCUCCCCAAGCCCCCAUGUCCUGAUACUAUCACACUGAUGGGCUUGGGUUUCAGCAUAUGAAUUGUGUCAAAUUAGUGCCCUUAUAAGAGCACCGAAAUGUUUAAAAAUGGCAAGGCGUUUGCCCUUGCCACCCCUUUCCAAAUUUGUGGGAUUAGAUAAUACAUGUUGGUAGGACAGAUUUGAACAGUGAAGUACCAGUUUUUAACCUGUGUGCUUUGUGUCAGGUGGUGUGGCAUCAAGACAGCAUGUCCUUAAAUGGCCUAAGAUUUUAGUCAUUAUUUGAUUAUUAUUUGUUAUUUGAGAGUAUUUUGAUUAUUUGAGUUAAUCAAAAUGAACUUGGAAUAUAGGGGACAGAAGAGGAGAAGAAAAAUCAAUGUGAAGAUGUCAGUACUCGAAGGGCAGCUGGAAACUGGGACUUGAUGCCCAGUUUACAAGAUUACGUGAGGGAAUAGUGCUUAAUGGUUAAUUAUUUGAACUUUCAUUAGUGUGAGAACUCUGAGUUAGGAGGUCUCUUGGAUCAAUCAGUUUCAUCUUAAGAAUCUUUCUCUCUCCACAGUGGGGUUCUGUAGGGGAAAAUACUCGGACACACCACCAAGGUGGGGCCAGCCACAUCACUGACCUAUUUUGUUUAUUUUCUUCCUGCACUUUUCUGCCCCGGGAGAUACAUAAAAUGGGAGCACAUGUUAUAAUUUAUAGGGAUAGAAGAAAUUCUUUGUCAUAUACAGAAAUUUAGUAAAUAUUUAUGAACUUUCUGCUUCUUAAUAUAAGGGUGUGAAAAUAACGUAGCUCCUGAUUGCACACUGGUCAUCGCUGGAAGUCUGCAGAAGACGAGAAACUCGAAGCCCUAAAUAAGGUCUCUGCUUGAUGCACAGAAACGGUCCUGUUGAAUUUUCUCCCCUUUUUGACAUGCCGACUCCCUUCUGUUUCAUUACCAUUCCAAGAAACCCUGAAGCUGUGAUUCACAGAACCAAUGCAUUCUCUAAUCAGAGACAAUGUGAUACACGGUAGUCCUGCCUGGGAUGGACAACAAGCGAGAAAAACACCCCCCUCUCUAAUUUUAAUUAGAAUUAGGAGGCUCCCCAGGCCUUGCUCAGUUAGCGAGAGCACCCCGCAGGAGUCAUGUUCAGACCCUCCCACAGGCCUGUUAAUUUUACUUAGUUCAGUGGCCACAGCUUGUGCCUCCAGCUCUGCACAGUCAUCUGGAGAACAUGUCCCCUUCAUCAUUAAGGAAACAGAAUGUCUGAGCACGGAUGCUUCACCACUUCUGCAAAACAACUUCAAGUGCAAGAAGCCCUAUUGAUGACUGUGGUCAGUACCGUUAUCUCGACAGCCAAAGAAGAGAACAUUGUAGGGAAAAAUCUCACCUAUUAGCUGUGUGCUAAUGGACUUGGACCUUUCAGAGCCUCAGCUUUCCUAUCAGGAGGCUGGCAGUUAGGGUUUAUGAUACCAUGUCUGUGAAAGCCCUCAAAGCACGAAGAGGGAGGGACACACAUCCGAAGCAGGGUGGUCACUUAGGGCCUCUCUCUAUGGAAAAUAAUCUCUGGUCAUGGCAGUAGCUUUAGAUGGAAAAUCUUGGUAAGUGUAACUAUUAAACCUUAUUUGUUAAAAUGCAAAAAGGAGGAAAUUCUGCAUUCUGUUUAUUUCAAGAAAUAAUAUUUUGAUCUCAUUCUAGCUCAGUGACAUAAACAAGGGGAGAUGUUCAAAAUCUCACUUUGAACAGAAGUCCAUGCUUAUCUAUUAAUUCUCCC
Molecule: long non-coding RNA, 6360 nt
Filed under: Sus scrofa (pig)
Lineage: Eukaryota; Metazoa; Chordata; Mammalia; Artiodactyla; Suidae
Description: lncRNA (ENSSSCG00000057980.1)
Source: RNAcentral